UUGAGCGCUGGCGGAAUGCUUUACACAUGCAAGUCGAACGGCAGCACGGGGGCAACCCUGGUGGCGAGUGGCGAACGGGUGAGUAAUACCUAGGAACAUGUCCAGUAGUGGGGGAUAACGCAGCGAAAGCUGUGCUAAUACCGCAUACGCCCUAUGGGGGAAAGCGGGGGACCGUAAGGCCUCGCGCGAUUGGAGCGGCCGAUGUCGGAUUAGCUAGUUGGUGGGGUAAAGGCCUACCAAGGCGACGAUCCGUAGCGGGUCUGAGAGGAUGAUCCGCCACACUGGGACUGAGACACGGCCCAGACUCCUACGGGAGGCAGCAGUGGGGAAUUUUGGACAAUGGGGGCAACCCUGAUCCAGCCAUGCCGCGUGAGUGAAGAAGGCCUUCGGGUUGUAAAGCUCUUUCAGACGGAAAGAAAACGCAUCGGUGAAUACCCGGUGUGGAUGACGGUACCGUAAGAAGAAGCACCGGCUAACUACGU
Molecule: ribosomal RNA, 482 nt
Filed under: uncultured bacterium
Lineage: Bacteria
Description: bacterial SSU rRNA
Rfam family: Bacterial small subunit ribosomal RNA
Source: RNAcentral